GACGAACGCUGGCGGCGUGCCUAAUACAUGCAAGUUGAGCGCUGAAGGUUGGUACUUGUACCAACUGGAUGAGCAGCGAACGGGUGAGUAACGCGUGGGGAAUCUGCCUUUGAGCGGGGGACAACAUUUGGAAACGAAUGCUAAUACCGCAUAAAAACUUUAAACACAAGUUUUAAGUUUGAAAGAUGCAAUUGCAUCACUCAAAGAUGAUCCCGCGUUGUAUUAGCUAGUUGGUGAGGUAAAGGCUCACCAAGGCGAUGAUACAUAGCCGACCUGAGAGGGUGAUCGGCCACAUUGGGACUGAGACACGGCCCAAACUCCUACGGGAGGCAGCAGUGGGGAAUCUUCGGCAAUGGACGAAAGUCUGACCGAGCAACGCCGCGUGAGUGAAGAAGGUUUUCGGAUCGUAAAACUCUGUUGGUAGAGAAGAACGUUGGUGAGAGUGGAAAGCUCAUCAAGUGACGGUAACUACCCAGAAAGGGACGGCUAACUACGU
This 496-nucleotide ribosomal RNA is filed under the name uncultured bacterium. RNAcentral's name for it is "partial 16S ribosomal RNA". It matches the Rfam family "Bacterial small subunit ribosomal RNA", at positions 28 to 506 of the family's 1533-position model. The record is from RNAcentral.